GCUUAGUUGGUAAAGCACAAAGCUCUUAACCUUGUGGAUGUGAGUUCAAGCCCCAU
Molecule: transfer RNA, 56 nt
Filed under: Triticum aestivum (bread wheat)
Lineage: Eukaryota; Viridiplantae; Streptophyta; Magnoliopsida; Poales; Poaceae
Also listed under: 1 other name
Rfam family: tRNA
About the family: Transfer RNA (tRNA) molecules are approximately 80 nucleotides in length.
Source: Rfam by way of RNAcentral